Molecule: RNA transcript, 1960 nt
Organism: Bombus terrestris (buff-tailed bumblebee)
Lineage: Eukaryota; Metazoa; Arthropoda; Insecta; Hymenoptera; Apidae
Gene name: serine/threonine-protein phosphatase PGAM5, mitochondrial
Exons: 6
Source: RefSeq, a predicted model, not a curated record
AGUGCAAUAUUGCUGCAGUCAUAUGUCUACCUUUGUUGUUCUUAAUAGGAAAAUAAAAAAGGACAUAUGAUCGUAGUAGAAUCGCGCGCGUAUGAAAAUGUUGCUCGUGUACAUUUAGCCUAAAGCUGUGCGAACAAAAAUAUAUUUUUAUAUUGCUAUAACAAUAUAAUCCGGUGUGUACUUGGUUUCGAUAAUGUUGACUCAAAUCAGUUAAAAAAUUUAAUUGUUAAUUUAUUAUAACAAUGCCUGUACGUCCAAGUUUUAAAAAAUGGAUUAUAGGAUUUGGCGCAUUAGGUGGUGCGAUGUUCUUUUAUCCACAUGAUAAUGAUAAUAAUAAAUUAUUGCACAUGGACAAAUCUAGGAUAUCUUCUUCAUCUUGGGAUUAUAACUGGGAUAGGAGAGAUCCAAAAAGUUUAGUGAAACCAAUGAAAAUAGACAAUGAAUCUAAUCAAAAUACAUAUCAUAAACAAUUAAUAAAUAAAACAGCGAAAGCUACACGUCACAUAAUUUUAAUUCGUCAUGGACAAUAUAAUGUGGAAGCUAAGACAGAUGCAGAUGGGACACUUACAGAUCUUGGUAGGCAACAAGCUGAGGCAACAGGAAAACGACUGCAUGCUUUGGGUUUUCCAUAUACUUUGCUUGUACAUUCAUCAAUGACAAGGGCUCAAGAAACUGCUAAAAUCAUAGAAAAAUCUUUUAAAAAUAUAACGGUAAAGUGUGAUUCAAUUCUUAAUGAGGGUUCACCAAUUCAACCUGAACCUCCAUCAUCUAGCUGGAAACCUGAAGUAAAUUAUUAUAGAGAUGGGCCUAGAAUAGAAGCUGCAUUUAGAAAGUAUUUUCAUCGUGCAGAUUUCAGUCAGAAAAAUGAUUCAUAUACAAUUCUUGUUUGUCAUGCAAAUGUUAUUAGAUAUUUUGUAUGCAGAGCAUUGCAAUUUCCACCCAAAAGUUGGUUGCGAUUAAGCUUGAAUCAUGCUAGUAUUACAUGGAUUACUAUUUACCCUGAUGGUAUUGUAAAAUUAUGGGUGUUUGGUGAAUCAGGGCAUAUGAAACCACAACUUAUUUCAUAACUAAAUUGACCAUAGCAUAUUACUUUAUUUAAUAAAAUACACUUACGUUAUCUACAUUUGAUAUCAUUUUAAUAUAUAAAUUUUACAAGAACGUAUUUUUAACUAUUUAUUUUAUCUAUGAAAACUUAUAAUUUGUUAAUAAAAAACUAAGAAAUACUUUUUAAAUUAUUAACAAUCAAGGACAGCACAUUUAAAGACUGAUGAAAAAUACAUAUUCUUAUAUUUGCAAUAAGUCUUAUUAUUGUAAACCUCCACCUAAACAAAAUUUAUGUCUCUGGUAAGAUACUCUUUUUGAAACAAAGUAUAUAAAUCCUAUUUGCAAAUAAAUAUGCAAAGUGUAUAAAUAUUUAUAUAUACCACGUACAAACUAUAUAUUACUACGUAUAAUAAUAAUUACUAUGUAUUACACCUAUUACUCUAAAAAUAUUUUGAAAAAAUAUGUACUUAAUCUGAUUGUAAAAUCACAAAUAUCUAAUAUACAUAUACAGGGUGGUUGGUAACUGGUGGUACAAGCGGAAAGGGGGUGAUUCUAAGCGAAAAAAGAAGUCGAAAAUAUAGAAUAAAAAUUUUUUGUUUGAGGCUUUGUUGUUGAGAAAAUCGACUUUGAAUUUUCGCUCGGUACGCGUGCACUUUAUCACAUCUCGUUAUAAAAGAUCUCAUUGUAGAUCGUUGUCUUGAUUAACGUUAUGUUGAUAAACACUUCCAAUGUGACCGAAGUGUUUUCCUCCAAUUUUACCUUUUUGAUCUCAUAACUGAUAUUGAAAUAGCAUUUAACGUAUCUCGCCUCUUAUUAAACCAUUUUACUCUUUUUAUAACUAUUAUAAAAGAAGACGACAUUCAGAAUGGCUAGCAAAUGUAGCUAAAUUAGAAAAUGAAAAUGAUAAAAACUCACG